RNAcentral lists this ribosomal RNA (301 nucleotides) under uncultured bacterium. RNAcentral describes it as "partial 16S ribosomal RNA". It matches the Rfam family "Bacterial small subunit ribosomal RNA", at positions 509 to 809 of the family's 1533-position model. The record is from RNAcentral.
CAGCAGCCGCGGGAAUACGUAGGUGGCGAGCGUUGUCCGGAAUUAUUGGGCGUAAAGGGAGCGCAGGCGGACAUAUAAGUCCAUCUUAAAAGUGCGGGGCUCAACCCCGUGAGGGGAUGGAAACUGUAUGCCUUGAGUGCAGGAGAGGAAAGCGGAAUUCCCAGUGUAGCGGUGAAAUGCGUAGAUAUUGGGAGGAACACCAGUGGCGAAGGCGGCUUUCUAGACUGUAACUGACGCUGAGGCUCGAAAGCCAGGGGAGCGAACGGGAUUAGAUACCCGAGUAGUCCCUGUCUCUUAUACA